CCUUGGUUUUGCAAUUUUUUUCAAUGUUAAAAUUUUUUGACUAAAUUAUAUAUAUCCCGGGGUUAACAAGGGUGGAUGUUAUUUACACCGUGGUUAUCAACCAAUCAGAUUGCAGUAUGUUUGCUGCAUAAAAAAAAUAAACAUACAUAUUUGAGUUGAAAACUUAAAUACAAAGGUAAAAUUGAUUAAAAUGUAAUAAUGAUAAUCGGUUUGAAAAAUAGUUGUUACAAAUUCAAAAAUUUCAAAAUAAAUCUGACUCCAAUCAUUU
RNAcentral lists this long non-coding RNA (268 nucleotides) under Mytilus galloprovincialis (Mediterranean mussel). The record is from RNAcentral. Lineage: Eukaryota; Metazoa; Mollusca; Bivalvia; Mytilida; Mytilidae.